RNAcentral lists this ribosomal RNA (253 nucleotides) under uncultured bacterium. Its description in RNAcentral is "partial 16S ribosomal RNA". It matches the Rfam family "Bacterial small subunit ribosomal RNA", at positions 524 to 776 of the family's 1533-position model. The record is from RNAcentral.
UACGAAGGGGGCUAGCGUUGUUCGGAAUUACUGGGCGUAAAGCGCACGUAGGCGGACUACCAAGUCAGGGGUGAAAUCCCGGGGCUCAACCCCGGAACUGCCUUUGAUACUGGUAGUCUCGAGUCCGGAAGAGGUGAGUGGAAUUCCGAGUGUAGAGGUGAAAUUCGUAGAUAUUCGGAGGAACACCAGUGGCGAAGGCGGCUCACUGGUCCGGUACUGACGCUGAGGUGCGAAAGCGUGGGGAGCAAACAGG